GGCUGUAGCUCAGUGCUAGAAUGCUUGCCUCACACCAUGAGGCACUGGGUUCGAUCCUCAGCACCA
Molecule: transfer RNA, 66 nt
Filed under: Marmota monax (woodchuck)
Lineage: Eukaryota; Metazoa; Chordata; Mammalia; Rodentia; Sciuridae
Description: tRNA.Undet
Source: RNAcentral